This is a long non-coding RNA of Thrips palmi, 4828 nucleotides long. RefSeq lists it as uncharacterized. Lineage: Eukaryota; Metazoa; Arthropoda; Insecta; Thysanoptera; Thripidae. The transcript has 3 exons. The record is from RefSeq and is a predicted model, not a curated record.
AAUGGAUCUUCUCAGAAGCAGUGGUGGAUUAAUUGUUCAAGGCAGGUUUAUGAACGUUGUUGUCUGUUGCAGGAUUAUUUGCCGUGCUUCGGGCUUUGGGGUCGAGUUUGAAGGCCUUCCCGACUCGCCCCCAUUAUCGAGAGACCACCGCGAGGACCACUGUGCUGCACGGCAAGGGCAUCUACAACCUGCGUCACUGAGGAAUCUAUGAAGCGAGCUUGAGUUACGUGGGAUCAUCGACGCCCGAGUUCCUGAGAUCAUCAAUGCCCGAGUUCCCAAGACCAUCGACACCCUUCAGCAUCUGCAGUGCCCUGAGCAGUUUUUUUUCUAAUUUCAGGGGGAACGCCGAGGGAAUCCAACUUUGCCUACCGGACCGUCUGAAGCGGCCUAUCUCGCAUGCAGACCAUUGAAUACCGUUUGAAGCUAAAUAUUUUUGGUCGAACUGAACCAGUAGGGGUGACUGAUUUUUCGAUGGGUUUUUCUUUCGUACAAGUAAUACUCUGUGGCUUGUCUCGGUGACGUUUCGGUGUUGCAAAUAUGCACCAAACACCAAAUGUCAUGGUAUUUAUUUGUCCCAUGGCAUUAUUUUUUGUCUUUUGACGGCUGCAGUUUAUAAGCACCUGCGAUGGUGACAUAAUUUGUUUCCACCUGCCGACACAAUUGCUGUUUUUAUCCCUGAACGGACAAUGUGGGAUAUCAGGUGAAAUCAAAUGUAUAUUGCUAUUGAACUAUCUGCUUAAAACUGCAUCUUUCUCUGGGCAUGGAAAUAGUUUUCGGCCCGUCCCUUAUUCACGUAUUAGAGAGUGGGAGACGUAUAUAAAGUAGAAUUCAUGCUGAAUUUAGGAAAUCGCGAAGCUGAAAUAAGAAGAAGAAAAGAAGAAAGUGCUCCAUGAACAUAGUUGUUGUGGGCUGCUGAACAGAUUUAGUUCUGGUUGUAGUGCUUGUUCGCAGGUUAUUUGCAUAAUUGUGUUCGUGGCCGCACUCAAUUUUGCAAAGGCGAAGGUUUUUCAUGCAAACAUUUCAACAUAUUUGUACGAAGAACACGCUUGCUCAACAUUGUGUGAGGCACUUACAGAAUUAUUUUAUGUCUCGCAAUAGGUGUUGUCUUGUCACUGCUGCUGUAUAGUUUAACUUCGGUAGUGCGAGGACAGGCUCCAGGACUUUCGUGUACAAUUCUUUCUGAUGGCGAAAAAUCAUUAGGGACGGUGCACGCGAAGCGGGGGCCCACAAAAAGGAGUACCCCUGCCUCGCCCAGCGCAUCGCAUCGCUCAUGACACCACGCUGCAAAGUUUGUUUACGAUUUGGUCCUGGAACAAGCCCUUUAGAAGGGCAGUCCUCGUACGAUUGGUCGCAUUUCUUCUUUGUCCUCGUUUUCCGAGGCUCUCGGCGCUGCUGUGACUGUUACGGGAGAGUGUUGUGGAUAGGUUUGGCAAAGUUCUCAAAACGUUAGUAAAUGCACGAAUUUGUGCGCUGCUUCGCAAAGGUGCAGCAGGACAAUGCACACCUAAGCGUCUAAGGUGCACAAAAUUUUGCAUCCACAAACGUCUGAUUGCAUUUGUCUGCAUCUCUCCACAAAUUUCCUUCCAGUAAUUUCCAUCAUGGUUGUUUGUGCACAACUUUGUACACGGUAAAAACGGUUCCUGGUUUUCCCAGGAGCUCCCUGGAAAUCGCCUACGUCUCUACCAUAGGCUUCCUGGGAAAACCAGGUUCCGUUUUACCGUGUACGGAAAUGAGCAAAUGCCUAAAAUGCCCAAAUGGGUGCGUUGCCAAGCAUACAAGUGAGCAUUUUGAUGUAGCACUUUGUGUGACUUCCGCACGAACUCGUGUAUUUUACACGCAUACUCAUUCCUUGCAAAGCUGGCCGAAAACAAACAGGUACAUAGGAAAGUGGUGUGGGGGAGACGUCCCAUAUUGCUUGUACCUAUCGUAAACCCUUACUACAAUUGUGUGCGAGGCCUCACAGUUUUUAUGUACGAAACACAAAAAUAUUCGUACUUAUUAGGAUGUGAAGUCGCACAACUUUGGGCGAAUUCACGCAGCAGUAAGUACGGAUUCUUCGUGGUUUGAAACAACAGUGAGGUCUCGUCCAAAAAUUGUGCAAUUACGCGUGUAAGGAGUUCUUAGAUCCUUGUCUCUUGUCACAUGUUCUAGGGUCGAGGUUGCUAGGUUCCUAACUUGAUGUUUUUGGUGGAUGAGGAUUGAGGGGCUCAAGAGAAUGACACCGAGAACUAAAUGCUUUGAGUUAAGCGUCAAUUGAUGCAGCGUUUGAUGACGUUUUCAUUGAACGUUUUCGUUGAAGUGCAAUGCCGUCUCAUUCAUUAGUAUAGGGCAUUUUCGGGACGCAUUGCACUUGGAAUCUCCGUGCAGACCCCCCGCCACUGCAGCGUGAGGAGAGGGGUAAGGAGAGGGCCAACGUGACAGGGUAGUUCCAACUGACCUUGUGAAUUCAACUGCAUUUUCAGCGGAUUCUGUGUUGAGUGCAUUAAUGAGAACUCCCCUAGGUGUGUACUCAGUCGACAAUGCACCUAACUCAGUGCGCUUUCACGAUGCAGUUGAGUUUCUUGUUCACAGGAGAAUACUUUGCUACUUUGCACCCGAGGUUUAAUGUAAGGUUAAGGGACGGGCCGAGUUUCCCUAUUUGUGUCACUACACUGUUUUCCAACGAGUGAGACCGACUUUGAUUGGACGCGAUUGACCCGUCUAAUUUGAGUCACAUUUGUUGGAUCGUAGCUUAAAUUUAAAACGAAUGUGACACGAAUUUACGAUUAACGCAUUUAGUAUCACUCACUUUGAAAACAGUGUACACUCAGCCAUAUUAUUGGGACAUUACUUUUUAAGCUUCAGACAAGGAGUGCGCAGGAUUUUCUUUAUUGCAGAAGGUUUCAAACGGUUGUUUAAUGGUCUGCGUGGAAGAUGAGUCGUAUCAUGACUGUUUUAAUGUAUUCUGAUGUUAGCUGAUUAAGUUAAUUUAUAAGCUACUAACGUGUCAGUUAAUUAUUGUGUUCACUUAUUUUGUGUUGUGACUGGGACUGCACUGGACUGAACUCUGUUUUAACAUCAACUGCCAUCACGAAACAUAAGAAGUAACUCACACUGUAACUUUUAACUGUGUAGGUGGUGAACACGAGGCAGGGCUCGAUGAGAGGUGAAAGUACUGUGAGCAGCCUGACAGCUUCUUUAGGUCCCUGUCCCUCAUCAUUAGGGCGAGGGCAUGUCCGAUCUCCAAGUAAAGGAGACGUGCCUCGCCGCGCUGAAUGUACUGCUUGAUUGGCGUUUCUUCCGGAGGACGCCACACGCCAUUCCGGCCCCGCGAGGCCGCGGUGGCGUGGGGUGCUGCUGGUGACCACCUCGCCGUGGUCGCCCUUCCCUUCCGAGAGGGAAUGGGUUCGGCUCUAGGCCGGCUGGCGGCGCUUUAUCAAUUCAGUGCCGCUUCCGCGUGAGGGUGCGUACCGCCGUGGCGAGUUCUGCUUGGCUGGCGCUUGCCACACUGCUCGGCGGCAAUUAGUGCUGCCGUCGUGGGGGCCUAGGUGGUGGAACACCGAGUGUUCACCCUCCCGCCCCCUAAGGGCGGUAGGGUUCUGGCUAGCCUAGUAGCCGGCCACCUCGGCCUUUGCCAAACGCAGGAAUCCCAUUGGUUUAGCUGUAAGGCCGCGGAGGUUUACUUGGCUGGCGUUUGCCACACUGCAAGGCACUCUGAGGGGUGCAAGUAUUUCAUCAUCCCUUUAAAUGGCCUCUACUGACCAGGAAAUGUGUCAGAGGAAGGCGCUAAAGUGGUGGUGCAUUAUUUGCACGUCAGCUUUGUGCCGUUCGUCGUGGGGGUCGAAGUGGCGGAACACCUCAGUGUUCACCCUCCACCCCCUAAGGGUGUGAGAGUUCGGGCCAGUCUAGCAGCCGGCCACUUCGGCCUUUGUCAACUGUAAACCUUUCAAAGCCAACGACGCAAACUGCAACGUGUUUCUACGCACUAAAUGUGUAGGUAGAAUUUUGUACGUGUAACUUACACGAUUUUUUGCAUACGUGGAGUUUGUAUAAAAUUGUAUGUAAAAAUGCAUAAGUCAGUGCAAAUUUAAGUACAAUUUUAUGUACAACUGUCCAUGGGGUUUAAAAUCAUGCAUUACGACGUACAAAAUUGUACACAAACAUUUAGCGAGUACUUGUUGCAUUAAACGGUUACUUUUAAUUGCACGAUGAGGUAAUUAAAAGUCAAAGCGGCUGUUUUUUUUUUUGGUGCUCUGCGAGGAGGAUGGCAUGGGUGGGCUAUUCGUUUGAGCACUUUGAUGUGGACUUAUUUCUGAUUACGUUGCAUUAGAGGUGUGGGGCCUCGUGUUUACCUUGUAUCUGCACACUUAAUGUCAUGGACCAUGUUUAGUCCCACGAGUUGGGCAAUUUUAAGCACAUCCGACGACAGUACAAAUUUGGUCCCGCCUGCUGCAAAUUGCACUUUCAUAAGACUAUUUGUUCCGCCUGGCAGACCCAAAAUUUUAUCACCAUCAGAUGUGCUUAAAUCUGCAUCAUCCAUGAUACGAGAAAAAAAAUCAACGACAUUUAGUGUGAUAAUCGCUCAAUUCGUUACAUCACUGCAUAUUAACACUUGCCAGAAAAUUCACCUUACUGACAGCGACGACAUGCAUAGUAUUUAUAAAAGCCUUAUGUUAGCAUUGUUACAUCUCGUAGUGUAAUUUCUUGAUGUUUUUGUCAGCCCAACUCCACCAAUGUUCUUUUUUCGCGUAGUUUUUUCAGGUUUCGCCGUUACUUGUAAUUUUGAAAUGUCAUUUAAUGUUUGUUGUAAUUUUGAUGUUUCCUGAAAAGAAAAAUACCUUUUGUUGCA